GAGGGUAUAGCUCAGUGGUAGAGUGCAUACUUAGCAUGCACAAGGUCCUGGGUUCAAUCCCCAGUACUGCUA
This 72-nucleotide transfer RNA is filed under the name Camelus bactrianus (Bactrian camel). It matches the Rfam family "tRNA". From Rfam's summary of the family: Transfer RNA (tRNA) molecules are approximately 80 nucleotides in length. Their secondary structure includes four short double-helical elements and three loops (D, anti-codon, and T loops). Further hydrogen bonds mediate the characteristic L-shaped molecular structure. tRNAs have two regions of fundamental functional importance: the anti-codon, which is responsible for specific mRNA codon recognition, and the 3' end, to which the tRNAs corresponding amino acid is attached (by aminoacyl-tRNA synthetases). tRNAs cope with the degeneracy of the genetic code in two manners: having more than one tRNA (with a specific anti-codon) for a particular amino acid; and 'wobble' base-pairing, i.e. permitting non-standard base-pairing at the 3rd anti-codon position. The record is from Rfam by way of RNAcentral. Lineage: Eukaryota; Metazoa; Chordata; Mammalia; Artiodactyla; Camelidae. RNAcentral also lists the same sequence under 3 other names.